ACUGGGAUAACUCCGGGAAACCGGGGCUAAUACCGGAUAACAUUUUGAACCGGAUGGUUCGAAAUUGAAAGGCGGCUUCGGCUGUCACUUAUGGAUGGACCCGCGUCGCAUUAGCUAGGUGGGGGAGGGAACGGCUCCCCCAGGGAACGAUGCGUAGCCGACCUGAGAGGGUGAUCGGCCACACUGGGACUGAAACACGGCCCAGACUCCCUACGGGGAGGCAGCAGUAGGGAACUUUCCGCAAUGGACGAAAGUCUGACGGAACAACGCCGCGUGAGUGAUGAAGGCUUUCGGGUCGUAAAACUCUGUUGUUAGGGAAAAAACAAGUGCUAGUUGAAUAAGCUGGCACCUUGACGGUACCUAACCAGAAAGCCACGGCUAACUACGUGCCAGCAGCCGCGGUAAUACGUAGGUGGCAAGCGUUAUCCGGAAUUAUUGGGGCGUAAAGCGCGCGCAGGUGGUUUCUUAAGUCUGAUGUGAAAGCCCACGGCUCAACCGUGGAGGGUCAUUGGAAACUGGGAGACUUGAGUGCAGAAGAAGAAAGUGGAUUUCCAUGUGUAG
This 561-nucleotide ribosomal RNA is filed under the name Bacillus cereus. RNAcentral describes it as "bacterial SSU rRNA". It matches the Rfam family "Bacterial small subunit ribosomal RNA", at positions 137 to 678 of the family's 1533-position model. Lineage: Bacteria; Bacillati; Bacillota; Bacilli; Caryophanales; Bacillaceae. The record is from RNAcentral.